RNAcentral lists this ribosomal RNA (583 nucleotides) under Microcharidius sp. 14 CA-2017. Its description in RNAcentral is "partial large subunit ribosomal RNA". It matches the Rfam family "Bacterial large subunit ribosomal RNA", at positions 1923 to 2739 of the family's 2925-position model. Lineage: Eukaryota; Metazoa; Arthropoda; Insecta; Coleoptera; Carabidae. The record is from RNAcentral.
UUUAAUGGCCGCAGUAAUUUGACUGUGCAAAGGUAGCAUAAUCAAUAGUUUUUUAAUUAAAAGCUUGUAUGAAUGGUUGGACGAGAUAAAAACUGUCUUUAAGUAAUUAUAGUAGAAUUUAAUUUUUUAGUCAAAAAGCUAAAAUAUAUAUAAAAGACGAGAAGACCCUAUAGAGCUUUAUAUUUUAUUUAAAAUUUUUAUUAUAGAUUUAUUUAUUAUUUUUUAAUUUAAAAUAUUUUAUUGGGGUAAUAUAAAGAUUAAAUUAAUUCUUUUUAAUUUUAAUUAUUUAUUUAUAUUUAAAUGAUCUGAUAAUAUUGAUUAUAAGAUUAAGUUACCUUAGGGAUAACAGCGUAAUUUUUUUUGAGAGUUCAUAUUGAUAAAAAAGUUUGCGACCUCGAUGUUGGAUUAAAGAUUAAUUUAGGUGCAAAAGUUUAAAUUUUUGGUCUGUUCGACCAUUAAAUCUUUACAUGAUCUGAGUUCAGACCGGUUUAAGCCAGGUCGGUUUCUAUCUUUAUAAAUUUAAUAUAUUUUAGUACGAAAGGACCAAAUAUAAAUUAUAGUAAAUUAAUAUUUGAAUAUUAAU